GACAGAGGAUGCAAACGUUGCUCGGAAUUACUGGGCGUAAAGCGCAUGUAGGCGGUCCGGUAAGUCAGGUGUGAAAUCCCGGGGCUCAACCUCGGAAGGGCACAUGAUACUGCCGGACUUGAGUACUGGAGAGGAGAGUGGAAUUCCCGGUGUAGAGGUGAAAUUCGUAGAUAUCGGGAGGAACACCAGUAGCGAAGGCGACUCUCUGGACAGAUACUGACGCUGAGAUGCGAAAGCGUGGGAAGCAAACAGG
This 253-nucleotide ribosomal RNA is filed under the name uncultured bacterium. Its description in RNAcentral is "partial 16S ribosomal RNA". It matches the Rfam family "Bacterial small subunit ribosomal RNA", at positions 524 to 776 of the family's 1533-position model. The record is from RNAcentral.